Molecule: ribosomal RNA, 162 nt
Filed under: Schizophyllum commune
Lineage: Eukaryota; Fungi; Basidiomycota; Agaricomycetes; Agaricales; Schizophyllaceae
Description: 5.8S ribosomal RNA
Rfam family: 5.8S ribosomal RNA
About the family: 5.8S ribosomal RNA (5.8S rRNA) is a component of the large subunit of the eukaryotic ribosome.
Source: RNAcentral
ACUUUCGACAACGGAUCUCUUGGCUCUCGCAUCGAUGAAGAACGCAGCGAAAUGCGAUAAGUAAUGUGAAUUGCAGAAUUCAGUGAAUCAUCGAAUCUUUGAACGCACCUUGCGCCCUUUGGUAUUCCGAGGGGCAUGCCUGUUUGAGUGUCAUUAAAUACC